This 402-nucleotide long non-coding RNA is filed under the name Pan troglodytes (chimpanzee). Its description in RNAcentral is "long non-coding RNA NONPTRT000985". The record is from RNAcentral. Lineage: Eukaryota; Metazoa; Chordata; Mammalia; Primates; Hominidae.
GUCACCUUAACAGAUCUAAAGGAGAUGUCCUUGUUUCCGGACGGCCCCUUCUUUCCUUAAUCUGGUGCCGGAUGGGGUGGGGCACGGUGCGGGCUUCCGGCGGAAGCGCUGGAAGCAAGAUGGCGGCCGCCGAGAGGGUUCACAAAGGCUCUGGUCCAUUAGAGGAAGGAGGUCCCAGAAUAGCUGGGAAAUUACGAGAACAGCCUCACUGCACGAGUUGGUGAAUGCUGUGGUGCGAUUGUAUGAUGGACGGUGAUGUUGAAACCAGACUGGGGAAUGACCGCCCCAUCCGGAGAGAGACGGGGUCUCGCUCUGUCAUCCAGGAUGGAUUGCAGUGUCAUUGAUCAUAGCUCAAGCGGUCUUCCUGCCUCAGCCUCCCAAAGUGCUGUGAUUACAGGGGUG